RNAcentral lists this long non-coding RNA (997 nucleotides) under Haliotis rubra (blacklip abalone). RNAcentral's name for it is "uncharacterized LOC124265447". The record is from RNAcentral. Lineage: Eukaryota; Metazoa; Mollusca; Gastropoda; Lepetellida; Haliotidae.
CUCAUUGCCAGAUGCAAAAGAAGGAGAAACCCAUGACAAAAAGAAAGGGGAGAAUAGACUCCAAACAAGAGUAGAUGUGAUGACACCAAGAUACUAGCAGCCACAUAUUACCUCGAGAGGUUAACCAGAAUGCAAAUCAACAGAAUAUGAUGCUGACCAAGUACCAGGAAGAGGUGUCCCCAUCACUGUAGAUGACAAGUGAUGACAGUUAUCUUGAUAGUCUACAGGAAUAAUUCAAGUGCAUUCAUAUGCAGUUUACUGAUUUGUAUGAUGUAUUUUGAUAAUUGUUUUGGCAUUCUAAUGUCAGCUGAGUAACACCUCCAUAAUGGAGACAAAUUAAGGAACUUCUGUUUUGAAGCAGUAAAAUAGUCUCAGCAAUAAUUUUUAUUUAUUUUGCCAGCAGAACAGAAGUUUCCAUUAAUUUUCCCACACAAACAUUUUGUGCUUUUCUGUUCCCCAUUUGUGCUUAUUGUCCUGCUGAACAAUUGGACCACCUUUUCAGUGACAUAUUUUUUACACUGCAUGACAAUGUGAUUUAGAAGUAUGAUUUGAUAUAGUUUGAUGGUUUGAUAUUAGUAUAUGUGGCAUGUAGUAAACAAUGGAAUAGUAAAGUUAUGCCAUAUUUCUUGUAUUUCAUGAUACAUUGUAGUUAGUAUUUAAUUAAGGCUUUACAUACUGGCAACUAAGUCUCUGCAUGUCUGCCAUGGAAGGCAUGUAAAACUGUUGCCCUUUACCAGAACGAAGAAAGUUUUAUAUGUGUAAUUCAUGAUAUGUGAAUAAUGUCUUACAUGUGAUGUUACAUCUAACUAUUUAAUGUGUAUGCUGUUAGUCUUAGAAAAAAGAAAAUUACCCCAUCUUGAAAUAUUCAGCUUUGUCAGUUUUUGUUGCUCCAGAUUUUGCCAUAUUUUGUUUCUGGAGGACAUUUUGUUAAAUGUAGUUACGUAUCAUGGGUUCAUACCAAAUCAUUUGAUAAAGGUAAUAAUUUAUAAACAAGAUG